Molecule: ribosomal RNA, 497 nt
Filed under: uncultured bacterium
Lineage: Bacteria
Description: partial 16S ribosomal RNA
Rfam family: Bacterial small subunit ribosomal RNA
Source: RNAcentral
GAUGAACGCUGGCGGCGUGCCUAAUACAUGCAAGUCGAGCGAACGGACGAGACGCUUGCUUCUCUGAUGUUAGCGGCGGACGGGUGAGUAACACGUGGAUAACCUACCUAUAAGACUGGGAUAACUUCGGGAAACCGGAGCUAAUACCGGAUGAUAUUUUGAACCGCAUGGUUCAAAAGUGAAAGACGGUCUUGCUGUCACUUAUAGAUGGAUCCGCGCUGCAUUAGCUAGUUGGUAAGGUAACGGCUUACCAAGGCAACGAUGCAUAGCCGACCUGAGAGAGUGAUCGGCCACACUGGAGCGGAGACACGGUCCAGACUCCUACGGGAGGCAGCAGUAGGGAAUCUUCCGCAAUGGGCGGAAGCCUGACGGAGCAACGCCGCGUGAGUGAUGAAGGUCUUCGGAGCGUAAAACUCUGUUAUGAGGGAAGAACAUAUGUGUAAGUAACUGUGCACAUCUUGACGGUACCUAAUCAGAAAGCCACGGCUAACUACGUG